Molecule: long non-coding RNA, 703 nt
Organism: Gallus gallus (chicken)
Lineage: Eukaryota; Metazoa; Chordata; Aves; Galliformes; Phasianidae
Exons: 3
Source: RefSeq, a predicted model, not a curated record
CACUGCCCACAGACCUGAGGCUGCUGCUAUGUGAGAGCUGUGCCAGGCACUCCAUGGGCACCAGGAAAAGCCCAGGUGAGACCAGCAUGUGUUUCAAUGGGAAUAAAAAUGGUUCUGAGAUAAACCUUUAAAACAGAUCGAAGCGAGAGGCAUCCCGAUGGUCACCGAGCUGGCAGAAGAUUUGACCUGCAGGGAUCUUCCCCCCAGUCAUUUGCAGUGGUUGAAAUGGUUCCUUUCCAGCACAGAUCUUGGAAAGAGUGGGAAGAGAGAACACAGAAAGUUGGAAACCUCUCUGCAGCAUUUCUGUCAUGUUAUGUGGGGAGAAACAAAAAUGGGCACAGCAAGAAGGAAGAUCUGGAUGGUGUUCAUCAGCUUUGGGCAGCAUCAAACCUUUCGAUGAGCACAGGUCUUCAAAUGACGUCGAGAACAUGCCCACCACAAGCAGCUCCAUGGAGGUCCUGGUCCUGGUCCUGCCCUCUGGAACAUGGAGCCGUGGGGCCCAUUGAUGGAGGAGGUGGUCACCUGCUUCAGAACGAUCUGAGCGAUGUACUUUCUUGACCACAUCUGAUGGACACGUGGCACUCUUCAGUGUGUUGCCUUCCUUGGUUGGAAGUCAUUUUUUUUUGUUCUAAUAUUCACCAGGUCUUUGUUUUCCAUUUACAAUAUUUGAGAACCAAGAUGGUGUUUAUAAAAAUCCACUUGU